This 579-nucleotide ribosomal RNA is filed under the name Cryptosphaeria pullmanensis. RNAcentral describes it as "partial large subunit ribosomal RNA". It matches the Rfam family "Eukaryotic large subunit ribosomal RNA", at positions 65 to 668 of the family's 3401-position model. The record is from RNAcentral. Lineage: Eukaryota; Fungi; Ascomycota; Sordariomycetes; Xylariales; Diatrypaceae.
CGGAACGGCAUGCUAGUACGGCGAGUGAGCGGCAACAGCUCAAAUUUGAAAUCUGGCCCUCGGGUCCGAGUUGUAAUUUGUAGAGGAUGCUUUGGGUGCGGUGCCUUCCGAGUUCCUUGGAACAGGACGCCUUAGAGGGUGAGAGCCCCGUACGGUUGGACACCAAGCCUAUGUAAAGCUCCUUCGACGAGUCGAGUAGUUUGGGAAUGCUGCUCUAAAUGGGAGGUAAAUUUCUUCUAAAGCUAAAUACCGGCCAGAGACCGAUAGCGCACAAGUAGAGUGAUCGAAAGAUGAAAAGUACUUUGAAAAGAGGGUUAAAUAGCACGUGAAAUUGUUGAAAGGGAAGCGUUUAUGACCAGACCUCUGCCUGGCGGAUCAUCCGGUGUUCUUCACCGGUGCACUUCGCCUGGCUCAGGCCAGCAUCGAUUUCUGCAGGGGGAUAAAGGCCGUGGGAAUGUAGCUCCCUUCGGGGAGUGUUAUAGCCCUAGGUGUAAUACCUCUGCGGGGAUCGAGGUUCGCGCUUCUGCAAGGAUGCUGGCGUAAUGGUCAUCAACGACCCGUCUUGAACCCCCCGAACCA